Molecule: long non-coding RNA, 4520 nt
Filed under: Xyrichtys novacula (pearly razorfish)
Lineage: Eukaryota; Metazoa; Chordata; Actinopteri; Labriformes; Labridae
Source: RNAcentral
GGGUGAAAUCUCUGGUGGGGAACUUUCCAUACUGGUCUUGAUGGAGGUCGUUUAGUAAUUAGAAAUGGCAGAAUAUUAAUGUAUUUGAGGAGAGGCUGUCCCUCUGCAAUAACACAGCUAGGAAAGUACUUUAGAUCAUUUCUGGGCAACAUUACAGACCAGAGUAAAUUAGGUUGGUCCCCACUGUGACCUUCCAACCGCACUCCCUCCUCCCAUGACCACAGUAUGUUUUUUAAUAGGUCUGCCUAUUAUACCCAGUGGCAUUUUUGUUUCCACUCAUCCUCGCUGUGUGAUUUUAUAUUCUGAGGAUGUUGCAGGACUUAUGGCCGCGUGAGAAUGAGAUUCCCCUCAUGGGAUCUGGGGGAUAUUUCUCUGGUGUGGCAUUCAUUGGGAUCGGAGAAGUCGAAAUGACAGCAACAUUACAUGGUUGAAAUGAAACCCCCGUAAUGUUAUCUAUUUUUAUUCAUACGGAGUGAUGAUUCGCCCCUCAUUGGUCUCUGUGUGUGAACGCACAGUGGCGGCGCAUGGAGGGGUUUUGUUACCAUUCUCUGUGAUAAAUCAGGGACAAGUGGGAAUUAUGGGGUCAUCAGAAAUAUAAAGUGGCAGUGUAUGGGUUGAUGUGUAGCACACGUGUUUCAGCACAAGGCUCACAUGUUUUCAUUUUAUUCUGCUACAGCCACAGCCAGCCGGAUGAAUUCAUACAUCCUAAUCUCUGCUGAAAGUGAGCGGCAGAGCGAGGACGGGGCUGAUACUGACCAACAAGGAGGGAGGAGAUUAGCUCCAGAGCUUUUUGCUGCUGUCUGCUAUUUUAGGGGGAAACUAAUGGAAACUGAAAAGGGAAACAAUGAGUGCAGAUCUCCAGUAAAAGCAGCCGAAGCGGAAACAGGGAGGAAAGUCGCUCUUUCAAUACCUCUCCAGGUGAAAAUGUAAGAUAAUGGUUGUCGUCGGAUUCGCCACUUUUCUUCUCUAUAAUUUAGCUGUAUUCAUUAUUAGCAUUAAGCUGAAGCAGGCCUGAUUUUUCCAUGAAAGUGCCCUUUUCUGUUGUCGCUGAUGUAUUAAGAAAUCUGGGCUUACAGAGAGUAACAAUCAGCCGGUUUCUGCGGUUAAAGCACGGUGACACCUUUUUACAUGGCAGCUGUGAAGAGGCCGCAGUCGUUCAGCUUUUCAUGCUCGCUGUGCUGGAAAAUGAUGAAGAAAUAAUGACUCAUGGAAAACUAUUUUAAUAGCAAUCAUUUUUUUGUUCUUAAAAGCCUCGCUUCAACAGUUACUCCAGAAUAGCCAUGGUUCCUCCUCUCUCUUUCUGUCCAAAAAGCACUUUCGGUGGUCAAUCAUUCUGAAGCUCUUCAGACAUUCACAGGUUACAAAGCUCUUAACAAAAGCCUGGACAGUAUUAGGAGUCCGAGAAACGCCAACAAGUCCCUGACUCGUUUUCUUUUCUUACCUCUAAGAGACACAAGAAGGAGACGCUACAGCUUUACUACCCAGUGGAUGGUAAUAUUUCUAUCACUAUAUUGUGCAGUUACAGCCUCUAAGACUGCUGAAUUUCUGCAGAUCACUGUAAGACAACUGCUGUGGAGUGUGGUUUCUGUGUUUUGAGGACACAAGUAAUCAAAUAUGGUGGAUUGGAGCAGGUAAACAUACGGGGAAAUGCCCAUGAGAGUCCAGACUACAAUGCACAAAUAGCACAAAUAAAUAGAGACACACAGAGGGGGUAAGUGAACAAGCAUGAUGCAGACUUCACCUGGUGUUUAAAACAGAAGCAGGAGAAGCAUAAAUGGAGAGAGUUUGCAUCACAGCCAAGUUUCCCGUUAACUUCUUUCAAUGCUGCUCAAUUAUAAUGCCUGAAACAACCAAGCUCUUUAACUCGCAGCGUCUCCUGCAAAGAUCUUCUCUUAAAUCACAACACUUACAGCUUCUCCUGCAAAGAUUUCCCCACAAACAGCUACAUUUCCCGUAAUCCUGCAAAUAUGCUCAAUUUUCAUGCCUGAAAGGACCAAGCUCUUUGACUCUCACCGCCUCCUGCAAAGAUUUCCCCUAAAACAGCUAUAUUUCUAGCUUCUUCUGCAAAUGUAUCUUAGGGCAACAUUUUCAGUUUCUCCUGCAAAGAUCUCUCAAAUAUCAGUAUUUCUAGCUUCUAGGUCUCCUGUCAGACAGCAAUAGUUACAGUUUCUUCUGUAGAUUUCUUAUUAAAUGGCCUUAAUUCCGUUUUUUUAGUAUUUUGUUUACCCUCCUUUGAUCAGUCUUGACUGGUUCAAUGAGGUGAUGGUGGAGAUUAUCUUACAGCUAUAAGCAGCUCUCACCUUCACAGUUAAAGCCAUAAAAUAUUCCUCAUUGGUGAGUCUUUUUUUUUUUCUUGACAACUGUUUUCAUACCACUCUUAUAUUACGGUUUAAACUGAACAUUUUAUCACCUGGCUCUACAGGGAUUGACUCACGACUGGAGCCAGCCUCAAGUGGACAGUUGAAGAACUGCAGUUUUUGGCACUCCUGCUCUGGCUUCAUCUCUCGGGACUGGAGAUUACCCCUUACUCUUUACAAGCGAGACUGCUGUUCAAUUUAUUUCCCCGAAGAACACCAUUAACCUCCAGUCCAAUCAGGGUGAAAAGGAGACCGUAAAUCCAAAUCACUGGUCCACUCUCCUGCCUCGGGUCUCUUGUCAUUUUCACCUCUGCCGGCCUCCCCUCAGCCCCUUCAUAUCGUCACCUCUGCUGCAGCUGAUUCUGCAGAACCGGGGAAUGAGAUAGAGUGUGAGGGCGGUCUUAAUGCUUGUGUGUAUCUAUGUGUGCAUGACUGUUAUCUAGAGUGUGUGUGUGUGUUCCAGCAGAUGCUACAAACUUAGAUGUCUGUAAUCAGUCAAUAUAUCCAUAAGAUUGAUACUCUGUCUUUGACAUUUAAAGGCUGCUGUCCUCUCUGAUGACUGAUAAUCCAUGAGGUAGUCAAUGACUCAUCCCAGGAUGGGUAAACCCUGCAUGAAUGGGUGACAUCUCUGUGCUCCCUCAGGGGUCCUGAUUCACACCACGUUCUGCUUUAGUUGACGUCACUCAGACAUUUUUACGGUGCACGGUUCAUGUGAGGAGUCCCUCUGGGGAAAUAUCUACUCUAGCAUAUGUUGGCCAAUGAGGAUCAGGUCAGCAGCGAGAGCCGGGAUGGUUAAGAGUGAUCUUUCUGUCAGUUUAAUGUGUAUUUUAAACAGUAGGCACUUAACUGCACGUAUCCCUCACAUUUAAUUUUAUUCCAUCCUGUAGAAGUGCUAAUUUCAACCAUUAAUUCAACUCACACUGUUCCCACAAUCCCUCCAUUUUCUCAUCUCCUCACACACCUUCCUGCUCUCGCCCCUGGUGGCGGAUGGAGAAGCGGUCGGGGGCUUUGCCUCAGUAAUUGAAGAAACCUUCAGAAACAUGCAGAUGAAGCCGGGUGAGCUGGAGAGGACUGAAAGUAGAAAAGGAAAAAGGGACCAGAUUCCCAAUUAUCCAUUCCUCCUCCUCCUCUUCUUCUUCUUCUUUUCGCUCUUUUUUUCGCUCUGGCAGGGUUAGCGUCGUUCAUUGGAGGCUCCUUCUUCGCCUCUUGCUGGACUCGGCAUAAUUAGGCGCAGUGUACGGGGCUGAACCGGGAUUGAUGAUCACAUAAAGGGCUGAGUGAGGAGCAGGUUCAGAGGGAAGCAGGGGCUUUGAUGAGAGGGUUAACGGCACUGUCAGCACUUUCACACUUAACACAUGUAACAAUGAAACACCCCGUCAGCUGACACACACACACACUCAAACAGGAGCUACUGUACAUCAAACCUUUAUCCACAGACCAAAACAAAACAUGUAACCUACAUUCAAUGUCAAAAUGUCGUCUUAGAUACGAGGAGAUCCUCCUCUAUGCCUCUUAUGUAACAGACUGCUGCAGGCCGAAGCUUUGAAAGAAACCGGAUUAUUGAAACUCAAAGAAUGAAAUGAAGAAAAUUAUCAUUACCAACAUUUUUUCCAUGACAACAACGAGAAGAUAACGAGCUAAAAUACAUAAAUGAUGACAAAAACUCACACAAAUAUAGUUUUUGUUUUCAUUUGUGAGAUAAUUAUGACAAGAAAACAUUGAAGGGGAACGCCUGGACAUUCAGAGUCCAUCAGAUAACAAAGAAGCAAUCACCUCUCAGUUUGAGUUUUGCCACUCUGCAGCCAGACCUCAAUUUACCCGAGAAAUACACUAAAGAGCCGACUCAGAGAUGUUUUGUUCGUUUAAUCAACACUGGAUGAUCGAAAUUGAAGAUGCAGCUGGGCCCAUUAAAAACACAAUAAAGCAUUUUUAUCAAAACCCAAAAACCAAUCAUCUUUGAGCUAAUCGAGUCAGCUGUUGGGUAGUACUGGUGCACACAAGUGUAUAAACUAUCUAAUAAAGUUAUCAAGCAGCAAACAGGUAUAAAAGCACAUAAAUGAGAAUUUUAGCGGUCAGAUGGUCAUGUUGCUAUUAAAUUUCACAACUCAGUACAUCAAACAAGACAAAAGCAGAACCUUGAAGCAUCUCUGUGACUCCAGCUGC